UAACACGUGGACAACCUGCCUCAAGGCUGGGGAUAACAUUUGGAAACAGAUGCUAAUACCGAAUAAAACUUAGUGUCGCAUGACACAAAGUUAAAAGGCGCUUUGGCGUCACCUAGAGAUGGAUCCGCGGUGCAUUAGUUAGUUGGUGGGGUAAAGGCCUACCAAGACAAUGAUGCAUAGCCGAGUUGAGAGACUGAUCGGCCACAUUGGGACUGAGACACGGCCCAAACUCCUACGGGAGGCUGCAGUAGGGAAUCUUCCACAAUGGGCGAAAGCCUGAUGGAGCAACGCCGCGUGUGUGAUGAAGGCUUUCGGGUCGUAAAGCACUGUUGUAUGGGAAGAACAGCUAGAAUAGGGAAUGAUUUUAGUUUGACGGUACCAUACCAGAAAGGGACGGCUAAAUACGUGCCAGCAGCCGCGGUAAUACGUAUGUCCCGAGCGUUAUCCGGAUUUAUUGGGCGUAAAGCGAGCGCAGACGGUUGAUUAAGUCUGAUGUGAAAGCCCGGAGCUCAACUCCGGAAUGGCAUUGGAAACUGGUUAACUUGAGUGCAGUAGAGGUAAGUGGAACUCCAUGUGUAGCGGUGGAAUGCGUAGAUAUAUGGAAGAACACCAGUGGCGAAGGCGGCUUACUGGACUGUAACUGACGUUGAGGCUCGAAAGUGUGGGUAGCAAACAGGAUUAGAUACCCUGGUAGUCCACACCGUAAACGAUGAACACUAGGUGUUAGGAGGUUUCCGCCUCUUAGUGCCGAAGCUAACGCAUUAAGUGUUCCGCCUGGGGAGUACGACCGCAAGGUUGAAACUCAAAGGAAUUGACGGGGACCCGCACAAGCGGUGGAGCAUGUGGUUUAAUUCGAAGCAACGCGAAGAACCUUACCAGGUCUUGACAUCCUUUGAAGCUUUUAGAGAUAGAAGUGUUCUCUUCGGAGACAAAGUGACAGGUGGUGCAUGGUCGUCGUCAGCUCGUGUCGUGAGAUGUUGGGUUAAGUCCCGCAACGAGCGCAACCCUUAUUGUUAGUUGCCAGCAUUCAGAUGGGCACUCUAGCGNNACUGCCGGUGACAANCCGGAGGAAGGCGGG
This 1078-nucleotide ribosomal RNA is filed under the name Leuconostoc pseudomesenteroides. RNAcentral's name for it is "bacterial SSU rRNA". It matches the Rfam family "Bacterial small subunit ribosomal RNA", at positions 111 to 1177 of the family's 1533-position model. Lineage: Bacteria; Bacillati; Bacillota; Bacilli; Lactobacillales; Lactobacillaceae. The record is from RNAcentral.